RNAcentral lists this ribosomal RNA (497 nucleotides) under uncultured bacterium. Its description in RNAcentral is "partial 16S ribosomal RNA". It matches the Rfam family "Bacterial small subunit ribosomal RNA", at positions 28 to 507 of the family's 1533-position model. The record is from RNAcentral.
GAUGAACGCUGGCGGCGUGCCUAAUACAUGCAAGUCGAGCGAACAGAUCAGGAGCUUGCUCCUUUGACGUUAGCGGCGGACGGGUGUGUAACACGUGGGUCACCUACCUAUAAGACUGGAAUAACUCCGGGAAACCGGGGCUAAUGCCGGAUAACAUUUAGAACCGCAUUGUUCUAUAGUGAAAGAUGGUUUUGCUAUCACUUAUCGAUGGACCCGCGCCGUAUUAGCUAGUUGGUAAGGUAACGGCUUACCAAGGCAACGAUACGUAGCCGACCUGAGAGAGUGAUCGGCCACACGGGAACGGAGACACGGUCCAUACUCCUACGGGAGGCAGCAGUAGGGAAUCGGCCGCAAUGGGCGAGAGCCUGACGGAGCAACGCCGCGUGAGUGAUGAAGGUCUUCGGUGCGUAAAACUCUGUUAUUAGGGAAGAACAAAUGUGUAAGUAACUGUGCACGUCUUGACGGUACCGAAUCAGAAAGCCACGGCUAACUACGUG